AUUGAACGCUGGCGGCAUGCUUUACACAUGCAAGUCGAACGGUAACAGGGAGCUUGCUCCGCUGACGAGUGGCGAACGGGUGAGUAAUGCAUCGGAACGUACCCAGUCGUGGGGGAUAACGUAGCGAAAGUUACGCUAAUACCGCAUACGUCCUGAGGGAGAAAGCGGGGGACCGUAAGGCCUCGCGCGAUUGGAGCGGCCGAUGUCAGAUUAGGUAGUUGGUGGGGUAAAGGCUCACCAAGCCAACGAUCUGUAGCUGGUCUGAGAGGACGACCAGCCACACUGGAACUGAGACACGGUCCAGACUCCUACGGGAGGCAGCAGUGGGGAAUUUUGGACAAUGGGCGCAAGCCUGAUCCAGCAAUGCCGCGUGCAGGAUGAAGGCCUUCGGGUUGUAAACUGCUUUUGUACGGACGAAAAGCUUCGGGCUAAUACCCUGAAGUCAUGACGGUACCGUAAGAAUAAGCACCGGCUAACUACGUGCCAGCAGCCGCGGUAAGCUCG
This 504-nucleotide ribosomal RNA is filed under the name uncultured bacterium. Its description in RNAcentral is "bacterial SSU rRNA". It matches the Rfam family "Bacterial small subunit ribosomal RNA", at positions 30 to 527 of the family's 1533-position model. The record is from RNAcentral.